UACGAGUGCUCCAAGCGUUAUCCGGAAUUAUUGGGUGUAAAGGGUGUGUAGGCGGUAUUAUUAGUCUUGUGUUAAACCCCGCAGCUUAACUGCGGAUCUGCAUGGGAAACGGUAAUACUAGAGAGUGCGAGAGGUCUGUAGAACUCAUGGUGUAGGGGUAAAAUCCGUUGAUAUCAUGGGGAAUACCAAAAGCGAAGGCAGCAGACUGGCGCAUUUCUGACGCUGAAACACGAAAGCGUAGGUAGCGAAUGGG
Molecule: ribosomal RNA, 253 nt
Filed under: uncultured prokaryote
Description: partial 16S ribosomal RNA
Rfam family: Bacterial small subunit ribosomal RNA
Source: RNAcentral